GUAUCCAGUGUGGGCGCUGGAGUCCUCCUAGCCGCCAACUUCCAUGGCUCCAGCAGGCAGCGAAGCCAAAUAAACACUUGGUGGGGACUGGAAGGAAGCAGAGUUACAGGGGCGACGGGAUUGGGUGUGGGUGGGGGUGGGGGGUGAAAAGCAGCGCCCCUUUGCAGAUGAGGAGGUAAGCAGCGGCCCCCUCCCUUUCCUCCCCACACGCACACACUUGACAGGCGGACCCGCUCUCUCUCUCUCUCUCUCUCUCACACACACACACACAACGCCACCGCAGCCCCUCACCUGCUCCUCUCCCACCCGCCCCCGCUCGCGUGCAGCACACACACACUUCUGCCUCAGCGAUUAAUUAAAGUCACACUUUCUCUCUCUCCCUCCUUCCCCAGGUCUCUCCCGCCUUCCCCUGCCAGGGCGUCCCGCCCUCCCUUCUUCCCCUCCUCCUCCCCCUCCUUCUCUUUUUCUUCCUCCUCCUCCUCUUCCUCCUCCCCCCCCCGCCAGCCACUCCGUCUGCGCUCAGCUCUACGGUUUGUGCCCCAGCCACAAAAUGGAGGACGACGACGGUGCUAGCAGCAGCCGCAGCCACAGCAGCCUCCGCCUCCUCCUCUCUCCCCCCCUCCCUCCCUCCCCAGACCAGGGAAAGAGAGCAGAGACGCUGCAGAGCGGGGAGCGCGCGCCACGGAGGGAGCGCGCGAGCGUACGGGGCUCGCGCAUUGCGGGGCAAGCCGAGGGGGAAACGGUGCAACCUUUGACUGAGAACAGCACUGCAACCCCCGGCAGGGCCUCCUUCUCUCUCUCCCCCCCCCCCAUCUUUCUAGAAACGUGCCGCUUGCCGCUAACAGUUUCUUUUUCCUUCUUCCUAUCUUAAUUUCUUUUUUUUUCGGUUUCUUAUCUUUCCCGCUGCAGCCCACGGUUUAUUUUUAUUUAUUUUUUUUGCUUUGGUUUUUAUAAGCAGCAUGUUGAUUUAGGACGUCAAGCCCUCUGCGUUUUUAAAAGGUCUGGGCUGUUCAAAGGGGGCGAAAAAGAGCGAACGAGGGACGACGAAAACAGGCAACAAACCUUCAGAGAGGAUUGAAGGGACAGCGCUGACGCGUUAAGCCGAGAUGACAGGAAAAGAUUUAGUUUGAAGACUACUUGCAUUGUCUGCUUACCUGCAUUCUUUCUUGCUACCCAUGCAAGGAAACAAUAAUGACAUUCAUCCAAUCAUGAGGCAGAGAUGCAAGUCACUAUUCACUAUCAUUUCCUCGCUUCCCAACUUUAUACACAUCUGUGUGUCUUCAAAAAUGGAAGCUAUUCAUACAUAGUAGGAAAAGGAGAGAAAAAGAAAAUGGAAGAAUUGCCUGAAGAUCAUCUAGCUGAGCCUCUACAUAGGGAUCCUUCUCUUGCGGAGUGCAGAUUUGAUCAGAUAGGAAAAGAACCUUCCAGUCCCAGAGUUUCCCAGAGUGAACCAAUACCAAAGAAAAGAAGGAAAAAUUUUCCAGGUACUGGACUAUUGGCAGCAUCAUUUGACUUCUUAAAGACAAAGUCUUUUAUUUGUGACAAAUAAGCGAUGAAAAAAAACCCUUUGUAUCAACAAGAAGCAUUUGUGCUAAGACUCCUGAUGGUGCUACAAAACUCUGGAUGUCCUUUUAGAGACAGAAAAUAUUUAUUUUGAUGGUUCUGGAUGCAAAGUGAUCCACCAGUACAGCAAACCAUAUUCUCCAAUUCCAUAACUUGUUCCCAGAAGAAGAUUGAAAGCAUCUUUAAUUUAGACUCAUUCCCCUCCCAAACAAACAGGCAUCAUCUAUUGAAUAUAUUUUAUGAGUAGAGGCAUUCUAAACAAUGUUUGUUCAGAAAUAUGUAGUUGAGCCAAGGUAGGGUAGUUUGGCGAUAAAUCAAAAGAAAACAAAUAGGGUCCUUUACAGACCCCCCCAAAGGUUCAAAUGAAUAAUGUGAAGACCAAGGUUCAAUAUAGGUUGAUAAUAAUAUGCUGCUUGCAGUAAUGUUUAUCUGACCUUGAUGGAAUGUUCUGCAGAAGUAAAUUCCUGGAAUAAGGUACUGAAUAAUACAGAUGAAAAUCUCCAGUAACAUCACAACAUAAUAAACUGCCAGGAAGAACUAGCAUUUACUGAGUCAUAACUGCUUUCUGUAUACUUUCUUUAUAUGCUGAAAUAGUUUGUGUAACAAUUGGUUUAAUAGCUGGUUAUUUUCUUUUUAUAGAAGCAAGGCAUUUUUGCCCUCACCUUUGGGGACUUGGUCCCAUAAUUUGUAUUUCAUUUCUUAAUUUCCACAAUGGCCUCUCCAAUGAGGCCAAAGUGUAAAAUUCUCCCCAGCAAUUUUGACCCAGUUCUUGCGAAUUCAGAAUGCUCAAACUUACAUAUCUGCUAACAAGGAUGAAAAAAAAAAAACAUUCCAAUUUAUUUACACUAGCAGAGGGACCAAAGGAGCAGAGAGUGACCCUAGUCUCAAUAUUAUAUAUCAACAAGCUCUACAUUUAGUACAUUCAGUGGUAUUAACAAUUCUCAAUAGAGCAGAUAAAUAUUCCUCUACUCCUGAAGUUGCCAAAAAUAUAACCCUCAGAUUACACCCUGCAAAAUAAUAAUUCAGACCUCUAAUAAGAGCAAUAUGUUCUCCCAGGUGCCCAAGAGUUAGAAAGGGGCAGAAUAGAGAAAAGAGUUAAGCAAAAGUGGGUAUCAGAAAAGCAGAAAAAGAAGUAUCGCAUUCAUAUUUGACUUCAUCCACCACUAACCAGAAUCUGACUCUGCCAAAUAAUGCUGGCAAAGUUCUGCACCUUUGCUGUAGCUCGUGUAGCAGCAUCUAAUUUGGGGGUGGGGUAUUAUAUCCCACACGUUUACUACAACAGAUAAAGAACAACUGAGAUGAAGCUCAUUAUAAACAUUCCCCAUCUCCCUUUUUCUCCUUCGAACAUAUAUUGUGGCCAUGAAAAAUAAAAGUGCUACAGUGGAUAACUGGUUGGACUAGGAUAGUGGAAAUCCAAGUUAAAUUCUUUUUUAGCCAUUGAAAAUAUUUGAAUGGGACAAGGUAUUCUGUCUCAACCCAACUUUUAUAAUUGUGGAGGAAGAAUGCAGGAGGAGAUGCUAUGGACACUAUCACAAGAGUUUUCUUUUUUGGGGAGAGAUGGAAGUGGGUAUAAAUCUAACAAAUAUUUUACAGGUGUUUUUGGAAUAUGAAUGUCUUUUACUCAGCUAGGGUGGCCAUAGUUAGGCAAUCUGGACAAUCAAUAGUCAUUAAUCAAACUGUUGCCAUUUCUUAUAUUUCUUUGCUGCCAUCUUGCAGUUAUUUGGAUCUUUGCAGCCUAGGUAUAGUAGGGUGCCUUGACUCUUUAGCUCUUGACAAUAAAUGCCAGAGGAAGCACAUUCUUAAUGAUAAGUUGCACUCAGAAAAAUGGGGCCAGUUGUAGUUUUGCUAUAUGCUUCAUUCAGUUUCCUGUUAUUGAUAGUUAUCAGGAAAAGAGCUUUGGUUCAAGAGAAGUCACCUUUUAAAAAAAGUUUGUUUCCUUGAAUAACUAAAAUGUAAGGAAGAUUAUGUUCAGUAUUCUGAACUACUAGAAACUACUUAUAACCAGCUUCCAAAAACUAUCAAGGUACAACUUUUACUUAGAUGAAUAAAGCUAUUGUUAACAUAAAACUGAUCUCACUUUUUCACAAUUAUAAUAAAGGAAGAUGAUUAGGAUUUGCAAAAGGUUUAAUUCUCAAAAAAGGCUGUUUUGAAAGUUCCAGGCUGGGAAUGAAAUGCCUUGUGUUUUGGAGUUAUAUACCAUGUUGUUUUAACUCUCUGACAUUCUGAAAUAAGCUUUAAAAAUAUGCAGGCCAAGGAAACCCGGAGCAUUAUUAUAUUCAGUAAUAACUACCAGCAAAGAAUCCAUCCUCACAACCAGUGGCAAAAACUAAUUUCAAUAAAGAGAAAAGUAUCGUCCUAAAUGCAUACAGAGAUGGAGAAAUAGUUGUGGACGUAAGAAAAAGGCUGGUAGAUAGAUUUAUGCUGAUUUUUUGGAAUUUUCAGCUAUAGAGAAAUUGGUUUUCACAGAUUGCAAUAUGUAACUGUGAUAAAAGAAAUAAACAUUGUCCCUGUUUGUGUGUAUUGACUUUCCUUUUCAGAUAGUUUGACAGGCGAAAAAUAUACUUUGUACUUUGUAUGUACAGAGACGGUUGCACCAAGGUAUGCACAGUCCUCAUUGGAAUGAAACAUUACUUAUCUGGACCACACCCCAAUGCAGUCUUUCAGAACAUAACAUUCUUUCAGUGUAGAAGUUUUAUUAUAAACUACUUGGAAAGUUUUGGCUAUUGGGCACUUAAAAUUUUUUUAUAGAACAGAACAGAACUGACAGACCAGCCCUGCAAAGUUAGUAUGAUCCAGAGGAGGAAAAAUAAACAUUCUAGAAUUUUCCAGAAUGUUGAGUUUUAAAAAUUCACCAGUUGGUAUGUUGUUGAAGAUUUAAGUUGCCAAAGGCAACAAUUAUGUUGUGUUUGUUGACAUUUGCAAACAGACCGAAAUAUAAAAAAGUGCAUGCUAAAUGCAACAUAAGCAUUAGAAAUAAGCUUCUGGCCAAUAGAUAGAGAAAUGUUUUUUGCUCUUGUUUUGUUGUUUGUGAACCACAUUUGAAGAUUGUUUUUAAAAACUAGUUGUUGCUUUAUGGGGUUCAGCUCUGAUGCUGUUUAAAUGGUUUAUUUUAAAAUCAUCCCCUUGACCAUUUUUUCUUGAGGUUGAUAGGUAGUUGGCAUUUAGCACAGACUACUAACCUAUCUACUUUGUUACUGUAGAUUGCAAAAUGAAAAAGCAUUGCCCUUUUACCAUUUCCAAUUUCUCAGCUUUUAAGUUCAGGAAAAAAAACCCAGGUGAUGUUUUCUUCUGAACUUAAUUAUUGUGUAACUCACUGUGGUGAAAAAUGGUGACCCUUUAAGCAUUUUUGUUGCAGUUAAUUAUUUGGUGGGUCAAAAAAAAUCCCUUCCAGUUCAUACUAACUUGAACAUUGGAUGAAAAGGUAGCUUAUCCCAAUUCCUACCCUCCCUGUUGCAGUGAGGAGUCAAGGUGCAUCAAUAUGAAAAGAAGAGGCUGUUGUUUGAAUAAGACUCGGAAAGUUAGACAAAAUUGAAGUAUUGAGAUUUGCUUUUUUAUGGAAUGUAUAAGCUGACUCUAUUUAUGCUCAGCCUCUUUAUUUGCAUUAUUUUUGCAAAAUAUCAGUAAAAUUCCACUAAAAUCUUUGCAGGGAAAUAAAAUCAGACCAAUGACAAAAAGGUGUAGUAAUUGUUCUGCAUUUACAAUAUGUAGAUUUAUAAUUCUAUCUUGAACUUUGAUUUUUAUUGUCAUUAUCAGUUUUUAUUUGCACAGAAAAAAAUCUGAGUUAAUAAUUUCUGAUUCUGAACUAUGUGGUUUAAAACAGAAUGUUUAUUCUGGCAUUCUCCUAUGAAAAACACCAAAAUAUUUGUAGAAGAGGUAUUCUGCAAUACAAUCUUAAGAAUGUUUGGUCAGAAAUAAAGUCCAUAUCAUUUAGUAAUUUUAGUAAUAUCAUUUAGAAUUCUGCGCUAAAUUACACUAUCAUGGUUGAAAUACAUAGAACUGUAGCUUCAGCUUCAUCCUUUUUUUCUGUAGCUGCAGCUAGUUUUUUAAAGUAAAAUGUCUUUUUAGAGUGAUUUUUCUGUGUUAGUGUUGGCAAUUCGUUAUAUCCUUAGCGAUAGCCUAAAAAUGCAAAUGUAUAUAUUGUUACUGUUAUGAAUGAUGUUAAGAAAGACAAUCAGAUUAAAAUAUCUAAAAUCCA
This is a long non-coding RNA of Thamnophis elegans (Western terrestrial garter snake), 5758 nucleotides long. RefSeq lists it as uncharacterized. Lineage: Eukaryota; Metazoa; Chordata; Lepidosauria; Squamata; Natricidae. The transcript is spliced from 7 exons. The record is from RefSeq and is a predicted model, not a curated record.